GGAGUUUGGGCCGUGUCUCAGUCCCAAUGUGGCCGUUCACCCUCUCAGGCCGGCUAUUGAUCGUAGCUUUGGUAGGCCGUUACCCCACCAACUGGCUAAUCAAACGCGGGUCCAUCCUUAAGCGAAAUUCAUUUCCUCACUGAGCCAUGCAGCUCUGUAAGCAUAUGGAGUAUUAGCAGAAAUUUCUCUCUGUUAUCCCCCUCUUAAGGGCAGGUUACCCACGCGUUACUCACCCGUCCGCCACUAGAAUUUCCAAGAAUCCACCGAAGUCUCAUCCUAGAGUUCUCGUUCGACUUGCAUGUGUUAGGCACGCCGCCAGCGUUCAUC
Molecule: ribosomal RNA, 327 nt
Filed under: uncultured Lachnospiraceae bacterium
Lineage: Bacteria; Bacillati; Bacillota; Clostridia; Lachnospirales; Lachnospiraceae
Description: partial 16S ribosomal RNA
Source: RNAcentral